Long non-coding RNA from Mesocricetus auratus (golden hamster), 1694 nucleotides. RefSeq lists it as uncharacterized. Lineage: Eukaryota; Metazoa; Chordata; Mammalia; Rodentia; Cricetidae. The record is from RefSeq and is a predicted model, not a curated record. The transcript is spliced from 4 exons.
CCAGCCUCUCGGCGCCGCCGCCCGCCUCCCAUUCAAGCCCGGCAGGGCAAUUAGGAUGCCAAGUCCUGGACCAGAGUCUAUCAGCUUCUGCCAGCUGCUCCUGGAAGAGACUUUUCCCACCAAAUGAUACUAUGGCUCUCAAGACGAGCUAGGAGGUGGCUGCCAUUGGUGCUUUCCUCCUUAUCUCUCAGAGCGAUCUGUUCAGCAACAAGGCUGGCUCCUAUUCUCUAGGGAGCCCAUUAGGUCCACUUAGAGGCCAGCAAUCCUAGGCAUGGUGCAUACAACUUGUUGCUAGGGAGAUAAUUGACCAAACAUUCACUUUGUUGCUGGGGUCAAAAAAGGGACAGAUGCCUUCCCAGCCCAGUAGUUCACCUCCUCUGCAUCUCCUCUUCAGUUUCUCUGACCUGCUGAAAGCGCCCUAGAAACAUCCAUGUCUUCUUAUGAAGUACCAGCCUCAUGCCUGAGACGUGAUGAUGAAGGUCGGAAUGAACAGAAUUGGCUGUAUUGGGCACCCGGCUACCAGGGCUUCCUUCAAUUCUGGAAAAGUGGGCAUUGUUGUCAUCACUUACUCCUUCAUUGACUUCAAUUGUAUGGUCUAUAUGUUCUAGUGUGACUCUACUCACAGACAUCUUCAACGGCACAGUCAAGGCUGAGAAUGGGAAGCUUGUCAUCAGUGGGAAGUCCAUCACCAUCUUCCAGGAGAAAGAUACCACAAUCAUCAAAUGAAGUGAUGCUGGUGCCCAAUAUGUUGUGGAGUCUGGUAUCGUCACCACCAUGGAGAAGGCUGGGGCCCACUUGAAGGGUAGGACAUAAAGGGUCAACAUCUCUGCCCCUUCUGCUGAUGCCCGCAUGCUUGUGGUGGGUGUGAACCAUGAGAAAUGUGACAAUUCACUUAAGAUUGUCAGCAAUGCUCCCUGGACUACCAACUGCUUAGCCCCCUGGCCAAGGUCAUCUGUGACAAUUUUAGUAUUGUAGUAUUGUAGAGCGUCUCAUGUCCACAGUCUGUGUCAUCACUUCCACCAAGAAGACUGUGAAUGGCCCCUCUGGGAAGCUGUGGUGUGAUGGCCAUGGGGCUGCCCAGAACUGGUGCUGCCAAGGCUGUGGGCAAGGUCAUCCCUGAGCUGAGCAGGAGGCUCCCAGGCAUGGCCAUCCCUGUUCUUACCCUAAGUCUGUCUGUUAUGGAUCUGACAUGGUGCCUGGAGAAAGCUACCAAGUAUGAUAACAUCAAGAAGGUGAUGAAGCAGGCAUUGGAGAACCCUCUUAAAGGGCAUCCUUGGCUACACUGAGGACCAGGUUGUCUCCUGCGACUUUAAAUGUGAUACCCACUCUUUCACCUUUGAUGCUGGAGCUGGCAUGGCUCUCAAUGACAACUUUGUAAUUGGCUACAGCAACAAGGUAGUGGACCUCGUGGUCUCUGUGGCUUCCACAGAGUAAGAAGAACAUGAGAAUGAUGAGAAGCUCUCAGCUGCUGAGGAGUCUGUCUUUUGUUUGUUUGUUUUUUCAAGACAGGGCUUCUCUGUGGCUUUCCUGGAACUAACUCUUGUAGACCAGGCUGGUCUUGAACUCACAGAGAUUCACCGGCCUCUGCCUCCCAAGUGCUGGAAUUAAAGGCAUGUGUCUCCACCGCCCAUCCGAGGAGUCUGUCUGUGAAGAGACACCAUGACCUCAGCAACUCUAAUAAAGAAAACAUUUAA